Molecule: ribosomal RNA, 405 nt
Filed under: uncultured Lactobacillus sp.
Lineage: Bacteria; Bacillati; Bacillota; Bacilli; Lactobacillales; Lactobacillaceae
Description: bacterial SSU rRNA
Rfam family: Bacterial small subunit ribosomal RNA
Source: RNAcentral
AGGUCUUGACAUACCAUGAAAAGCUAAGAGAUUAGUCUUUCCCUUCGGGGACAUGGAUACAGGUGGUGCAUGGUUGUCGUCAGCUCGUGUCGUGAGAUGUUGGGUUAAGUCCCGCAACGAGCGCAACCCUUAUUAUCAGUUGCCAGCAUUCAGUUGGGCACUCUGGUGAGACUGCCGGUGAUAAACCGGAGGAAGGUGGGGACGACGUCAAAUCAUCAUGCCCCUUAUGACCUGGGCUACACACGUGCUACAAUGGUCGGUACAACGUGUUGCGAACUCGCGAGGGCAAGCAAAUCACUUAAAACCGAUCUCAGUUCGGAUUGCAGGCUGCAACUCGCCUGCAUGAAGCUGGAAUCGCUAGUAAUCGCGGAUCAGCAUGCCGCGGUGAAUACGUUCCCGGGCCUU